GCCGUUCUCAGUUCGGAUCGGAGUCUGCAACCCGACUCCGUGAAGCUGGAUUCGCUAGUAAUCGCGCAUCAGCCAUGGCGCGGUGAAUACGUUCCCGGGUCUUGUACACACCGCCCGUCACACCGUGGGAGUCGGAAAUGCCCGAAGUCUGUGACCCAACCAUUAAGGAGGGAGCAGCCGAAGGCAGGUCGGAUGACUGGGGUGAAGUCGUAACAAGGUAUC
Molecule: ribosomal RNA, 222 nt
Filed under: uncultured bacterium
Lineage: Bacteria
Description: partial 16S ribosomal RNA
Rfam family: Bacterial small subunit ribosomal RNA
Source: RNAcentral